UUUAUUAUGAGAGUUUGAUCCUGGCUCAGGACGAACGCUGGCGGCGUGCCUAAUACAUGCA
Molecule: ribosomal RNA, 61 nt
Filed under: Enterococcus durans
Lineage: Bacteria; Bacillati; Bacillota; Bacilli; Lactobacillales; Enterococcaceae
Description: partial 16S ribosomal RNA
Rfam family: Bacterial small subunit ribosomal RNA
Source: RNAcentral